AACGCUGGCGGCAUGCUUAACACAUGCAAGUCGAGGGCAGCGAGGGUAGCAAUAUCGUGUCGGCGACCGGCGCACGGGUGAGUAACGCGUAUGCAACCUACUUUUACCGGAGAAUAGCCCGAAGAAAUUCGGAUUAAUGCUCCAUAGCAUUUAUGUGAGACCUCUCAUGUAUCUUAAAGCUCCGGCGGUAAAAGAUGGGCAUGCGUGACAUUAGUUAGUUGGUGAGGUAACGGCUCACCAAGACUAUGAUGUCUACGGGGUCUAAAAGGAUGGUCCCGCACACUGGUACUGAGACACGGACCAGACUCCUACGGGAGGCAGCAGUGAGGAAUAUUGGUCAAUGGGCGCAAGCCUGAACCAGCCAUGCCGCGUGAAGGAUGACGGCCCUACGGGUUGUAAACUUCUUUUAUACGAGAAGAAAAAGAGUUAUGUAUAACUCACUGACGGUACCGUAUGAAUAAGCAUCGGCUAACUCCGUG
Molecule: ribosomal RNA, 479 nt
Filed under: uncultured bacterium
Lineage: Bacteria
Description: bacterial SSU rRNA
Rfam family: Bacterial small subunit ribosomal RNA
Source: RNAcentral